RNAcentral lists this ribosomal RNA (721 nucleotides) under uncultured bacterium. Its description in RNAcentral is "bacterial SSU rRNA". It matches the Rfam family "Bacterial small subunit ribosomal RNA", at positions 59 to 780 of the family's 1533-position model. The record is from RNAcentral.
CAGUCGAAGAAGCACUUUAUUUGAUUUCCUUCGGGACUGAUUAUUUUGUCACUGAGUGGCGGACGGGUGAGUAACGCGUGGGUAACCUGCCUUGUACAGGGGGAUAACAGUUGGAAACGGCUGCUAAUACCGCAUAAGCGCACAGCAUCGCAUGAUGCAGUGUGAAAAACUCCGGUGGUAUAAGAUGGACCCGCGUUGGAUUAGCUAGUUGGUGAGGUAACGGCCCACCAAGGCGACGAUCCAUAGCCGACCUGAGAGGGUGACCGGCCACAUUGGGACUGAGACACGGCCCAAACUCCUACGGGAGGCAGCAGUGGGGAAUAUUGCACAAUGGGCGAAAGCCUGAUGCAGCGACGCCGCGUGAGCGAAGAAGUAUUUCGGUAUGUAAAGCUCUAUCAGCAGGGAAGAUAAUGACGGUACCUGACUAAGAAGCACCGGCUAAAUACGUGCCAGCAGCCGCGGUAAUACGUAUGGUGCAAGCGUUAUCCGGAUUUACUGGGUGUAAAGGGAGCGCAGGCGGUGCGGCAAGUCUGAUGUGAAAGCCCGGGGCUCAACCCCGGUACUGCAUUGGAAACUGUCGUACUAGAGUGUCGGGGGGUAAGCGGAAUUCCUAGUGUAGCGGUGAAAUGCGUAGAUAUUAGGAGGAACACCAGUGGCGAAGGCGGCUUACUGGACGAUAACUGACGCUGAGGCUCGAAAGCGUGGGGAGCAAACAGGAUUA